GAUGAACGCUAGCGGCAGGCCUAAUACAUGCAAGUCGAACGGUGUCUUCGGACAUAGUGGCGCACGGGUGCGUAACACGUAUGCAACCUACCUUACAUUGGGGGAUAGCCUUUCGAAAGGGAGAUUAAUACCGCAUAAGACAGUAGCUGGGCAUCCAGCAGCUGAUAAAGAUUUAUCGAUGUAAGCUGGGCAUGCGUCCAAUUAGCUAGUUGGUGAGGUAACGGCUCACCAAGGCAAUGAUUGGUAGGGGAACUGAGAGGUCAAUCCCGCCACACUGGCACUGAGAUACGGGCCAGACUCCUACGGGAGGCAGCAGUAGGGAAUAUUGGGCAAUGGACGCAAGUCUGACCCAGCCAUGCCGCGUGCAGGAUGAAGGCGUUAUGCGUUGUAAACUGCUUUUAUACAGGAAGAAACGACUCUUGCGAGAGGCAUUGACGGUACUGUAUGAAUAAGCACCGGCUAACUCCGUGCCAGCCGCCGCCGUAA
Molecule: ribosomal RNA, 486 nt
Filed under: uncultured bacterium
Lineage: Bacteria
Description: partial 16S ribosomal RNA
Rfam family: Bacterial small subunit ribosomal RNA
Source: RNAcentral